Molecule: ribosomal RNA, 433 nt
Filed under: uncultured bacterium
Lineage: Bacteria
Description: partial 16S ribosomal RNA
Rfam family: Bacterial small subunit ribosomal RNA
Source: RNAcentral
AACGAACGCUGGCGGCAUGCCUAACACAUGCAAGUCGAACGAGACCUUCGGGUCUAGUGGCGCACGGGUGCGUAACGCGUGGGAAUCUGCCCUUGGGUUCGGAAUAACAGUUGGAAACGACUGCUAAUACCGGAUGAUGACGUAAGUCCAAAGAUUUAUCGCCCAAGGAUGAGCCCGCGUAGGAUUAGCUAGUUGGUGAGGUAAAGGCUCACCAAGGCGACGAUCCUUAGCCGGUCUGAGAGGAUGAUCAGCCACACUGGGACUGAGACACGGCCCAGACUCCUACGGGAGGCAGCAGUGGGGAAUAUUGGACAAUGGGCGAAAGCCUGAUCCAGCAAUGCCGCGUGAGUGAUGAAGGCCUUAGGGUUGUAAAGCUCUUUUACCCGGGAUGAUAAUGACAGUACCGGGAGAAUAAGCUCCGGCUAACUCCGUG